This 301-nucleotide ribosomal RNA is filed under the name uncultured bacterium. RNAcentral describes it as "partial 16S ribosomal RNA". It matches the Rfam family "Bacterial small subunit ribosomal RNA", at positions 509 to 808 of the family's 1533-position model. The record is from RNAcentral.
CAGCAGCCGCGGGAAUACGUAGGUGGCAAGCGUUGUCCGGAAUUAUUGGGCGUAAAGCGCGCGCAGGCGGAUCAGUUAGUCUGUCUUAAAAGUUCGGGGCUUAACCCCGUGGUGGGAUGGAAACUGCUGAUCUAGAGUAUCGGAGAGGAAAGUGGAAUUCCUAGUGUAGCGGUGAAAUGCGUAGAUAUUAGGAAGAACACCAGUGGCGAAGGCGACUUUCUGGACGAAAACUGACGCUGAGGCGCGAAAGCCAGGGGAGCGAACGGGAUUAGAUACCCCAGUAGUCCCUGUCUCUUAUACC